GAUGAACGCUGGCGGCGUGCCUAAUACAUGCAAGUCGAGCGAACAGAUGAGGAGCUUGCUCCUCUGACGUUAGCGGCGGACGGGUGAGUAACACGUGGAUAACCUACCUAUAAGACUGGGAUAACUUCGGGAAACCGGAGCUAAUACCGGAUAAUAUAUUGAACCGCAUGGUUCAAUAGUGAAAGACGGUUUUGCUGUCACUUAUAGAUGGAUCCGCGCCGCAUUAGCUAGUUGGUAAGGUAACGGCUUACCAAGGCAACGAUGCGUAGCCGACCUGAGAGGGUGAUCGGCCACACUGGAACUGGGACACGGUCCAGACUCCUACGGGAGGCAGCAGUAGGGAAUCUUCCGCAAUGGGCGAAAGCUUGACGGAGCAACGCCGCGUGAGUGAUGAAGGUCUUCGGAUCGUAAAACUCUGUUAUUAGGGAAGAACAAAUGUGUAAGUAACUAUGCACGUCUUGACGGUACCUAAUCAGAAAGCCACGGCUAACUACGUG
RNAcentral lists this ribosomal RNA (497 nucleotides) under uncultured bacterium. RNAcentral's name for it is "partial 16S ribosomal RNA". It matches the Rfam family "Bacterial small subunit ribosomal RNA", at positions 28 to 507 of the family's 1533-position model. The record is from RNAcentral.